UCGCGUCUUACGACGGCAGUUUCAUUAGAGUUCCCAGCUUGACCUGAUGGCAACUAAUGAUGGGGGUUGCGCUCGUUGCGGGACUUAACCCAACACCUCACGGCACGAGCUGACGACAGCCAUGCACCACCUGUGCAGGCUCCGAAGAGCGCCCGCUUUCACGGGUUCUACCCUGCAUGUCAAGCCCAGGUAAGGUUCUUCGCGUCGCAUCGAAUUAAGCCGCAUGCUCCGCCGCUUGUGCGGGGCCCCGUCAAUUCCUUUGAGUUUUAGCCUUGCGGCCGUACUCCCCAGGCGGGGUGCUUAAUGCGUUAGCUACGGCACGGAUUCCGUGGAAGGAACCCACACCUAGCGCCCACCGUUUACGGCUGGGACUAC
RNAcentral lists this unclassified non-coding RNA (375 nucleotides) under uncultured Actinomycetes bacterium. RNAcentral describes it as "uncultured actinobacterium contains 16S-23S intergenic spacer region". The record is from RNAcentral. Lineage: Bacteria; Bacillati; Actinomycetota; Actinomycetes.